CGUCUCUACUGCACCACGAACGAUCUCGUUGGACGAAAUGAUGCCGAGGUCCGGUAUAUUCUACUGUAUUAGGCCCGACUCCCCCACCGACGUGCAGCGCGCCUUUUGUGGGGAGAUACGUACACACCCAUCGUGACUAAUGCAGCGGCCUCCGGAAACAUAAGUGGAUUAAUUUCACAUCGGUUUCCAAGCGUAAGACACGCAUGUACAAUGUAUUUCUAUAAAACAAUGCAAGAACAUUCAAUUAUCGAAGAGUAUAGUCAAUGUGGAUUCGAUUGCGUGUUACAGGAUGAAGAAUUGAAGAAAUAUGGUUCAAAGGUGAGCCGUUUAUUGACUCGUACAUCGUUCUGCGUUUUACACUUAUAAAAUUACCGCAUAAUACUAACGACUGGGUACGAAAGAUUAGAGUAACAGGGAAUUCAUAGUUGUCCUUUAUCUGUUUGUUCAAUAGCCCGAAUCCUGUCUAGGGAGCAUCCCAGUAACCUAAAUCCAAUGGAACUAAAAAGGAACCUGCCCAGCUCGGUGGUUCAACUUAACUGCAACUUAACUGGAUAUAAUGAGGCACGUAACGUUAAUUCACUUCACUUUAAAC
Molecule: long non-coding RNA, 592 nt
Organism: Neodiprion virginianus
Lineage: Eukaryota; Metazoa; Arthropoda; Insecta; Hymenoptera; Diprionidae
Exons: 2
Source: RefSeq, a predicted model, not a curated record